CCUUCGGGGGUACACGAGUGGCGAACGGGUGAGUAACACGUGAGCAACCUGCCCUUGACUUCGGAAUACCAGCUGGAAACAGCUGCUAAUACCGGAUAUGACACUUGCCCUCAUGGGUGGGUGUGGAAAGCUCCGGCGGUCAGGGAUGGGCUCGCGGCCUAUCAGCUUGUUGGUGAGGUAAUGGCUCACCAAGGCUUCGACGGGUAGCCGGCCUGAGAGGGCGACCGGCCACACUGGGACUGAGAUACGGCCCAGACUCCUACGGGAGGCAGCAGUGGGGAAUAUUGCACAAUGGGCGCAAGCCUGAUGCAGCAACGCCGCGUGCGGGAUGACGGCCUUCGGGUUGUAAACCGCUUUCAGUAGGGACGAAGCUAACGUGACGGUACCUACAGAAGAAGGACCGGCUAACUACGUGCCAGCAGCCGCGGUGAUACGUAGGGUCCGAGCGUUGUCCGGAAUUAUUGGGCGUAAAGGGCUUGUAGGCGGUCCGUCGCGUCAGGAGUGAAAACUCGGGGCUUAACCCCGAGCCUGCUUUUGAUACGGGCGGACUAGAGGGAUGCAGGGGAGAACGGAAUUCCUGGUGGAGCGGUGGAAUGCGCAGAUAUCAGGAGGAACACCGGUGGCGAAGGCGGUUCUCUGGGCAUUACCUGACGCUGAGAAGCGAAAGCGUGGGGAGCAAACAGGCUUAGAUACCCUGGUAGUCCACGCCGUAAACGGUGGGCACUAGGUGUGGGGGACAU
This 740-nucleotide ribosomal RNA is filed under the name Microlunatus spumicola. Its description in RNAcentral is "bacterial SSU rRNA". It matches the Rfam family "Bacterial small subunit ribosomal RNA", at positions 77 to 832 of the family's 1533-position model. The record is from RNAcentral. Lineage: Bacteria; Bacillati; Actinomycetota; Actinomycetes; Propionibacteriales; Propionibacteriaceae.